GAAUUGCGGCUUUGUUUGGAGCUGAGCAAAUUGUUAUUAUAUUUGCAGUUUGAUCUCUACUUAAGGUCCGUUGUGCCUGUAAAAAUAAAGUAGCUGCAGCUACUUAAAAACUGUAUAUUCCGUUCCAAGAAGAGAGGAGAGAACCCGAAAGAGAGACAAAGAGAAUCCCUUUCGCUCUCUUUCGCCCACUGAGAGUGCGUGGAAAUGAAAACAUUGCUUUCACCAUAUCGCGAUUUAGUCCGCAUAUUAGUUUAGUCGGCAUUUCGCUGGUAGAUAUUAAAUAAGUGCGUGGUGUCGUUGCAAUUGGCGGAUUAUAUAAGGGAUUCGAGUCGCAACUGCAUUGAUUUUCCAUUGGCCAUGGCCCGUGUCGUCGAGAGCAAUUUCGUGCCGAUCGCCGUGGGCGUGGUUGCCGUAGUUGCCGGCGCAUUGAUCCUCCACUAUCUGCUGAAUAAGAAGUCCACGAAGCCACGAAGGGAACCGAAUCGCACCGCCCGCCUGCGCACUCUGGUGGACCCCAAUGACAAGUAUCUGCUGCCCCUGAUAGAAAAGGAAAAUCUCAGCCACGACACCAGGCGAUUCCGGUUUGGAUUGCCCUCCAAGCAGCACGUGCUUGGAUUGCCUGUUGGCCAGCACAUCCAUUUGAUCGCCACCAUCGAUAAUGAGCUUGUCAUCAGGCCAUACACACCCAUCUCGUCCGACGAGGAUGUUGGCUACGUCGAUCUCGUGGUCAAGGUGUACUUCAAGGACACCCAUCCCAAGUUCCCUGCCGGCGGCAAGAUGACACAGCACCUAGAGCAGCUCGAGUUGGGCGACAAGAUAUCGUUCCGUGGUCCCUCGGGACGGCUGCAGUAUCUCGGCAACGGCACCUUCUCCAUCAAGAAGCUGCGCAAGGAUCCGCCCAAGCAUGUGACCGCCAAGCGGGUGAACAUGAUCGCCGGCGGCACUGGCAUUACCCCCAUGCUCCAACUGGCCAGAGAAGUGCUCAAGCGCAGCGACAAGGACAAGACUGAACUGGCGUUGUUGUUCGCCAACCAGAGUGAAAAGGACAUUCUGCUCCGCGCCGAGCUGGACGAACUGGCCCAGAAGUAUCCCGACCAGUUUAAGGUCUGGUACACCGUCGAUAAGGCCGGAGAAGCUCUCAAACGGAUGCCGCGAACGGGAAACGCGCGGUUCGUAGCCUGGUCCUACAACACUGGCCAUGUGAACGACGACAUGAUGAAGCAGCAUCUGUAUCCGCCCGAUGAGGACACUUUGUGCCUGCUGUGUGGUCCUCCGCCGAUGGUUAACUACACGUGUAUUCCGGGCCUGGAGCGACUUGGCCACCGGGCCGAGCAGCGGUUUAGCUAUUAGGACUAGCAGCUCUAGCUGACAAACUAGAUGCUAUCUCUGUGUUUUGCUUUGAUUUCACAAUGCCAAGCUAGUGGGAAAGAUUGGGUGCAGCAGGUUGGCCGUACAGCGUUGGCUUCAUCAAUGAGGACAUGAUUGCCGCCCACCUGCUUCCCGCCAAGGACGAUACCAGUGUGCUGCUCUGUGGCCCACCGCCCAUGAUCAACUUCGCC
Non-coding RNA from Drosophila suzukii, 1559 nucleotides. The record is from RefSeq and is a predicted model, not a curated record. Lineage: Eukaryota; Metazoa; Arthropoda; Insecta; Diptera; Drosophilidae.